RNAcentral lists this ribosomal RNA (432 nucleotides) under uncultured bacterium. RNAcentral's name for it is "bacterial SSU rRNA". It matches the Rfam family "Bacterial small subunit ribosomal RNA", at positions 29 to 508 of the family's 1533-position model. The record is from RNAcentral.
AGCGAACGCUGGCGGCAGGCCUAAUACAUGCAAGUCGAGCGCACCUUCGGGUGAGCGGCGGACGGGUGAGUAACGCGUGGGAACGUGCCCUAUGGUGCGGAACAACUGAGGGAAACUUCAGCUAAUACCGCAUGUGCCCUAAGGGGGAAAGAUUUAUCGCCAUAGGAGCGGCCCGCGUUGGAUUAGUUAGUUGGUGGGGUAAUGGCUCACCAAGACUUCGAUCCAUAGCUGGUCUGAGAGGAUGAUCAGCCACACUGGGACUGAGACACGGCCCAGACUCCUACGGGAGGCAGCAGUAGGGAAUCUUGCGCAAUGGGCGAAAGCCUGACGCAGCCAUGCCGCGUGAAUGAUGAAGGUCUUAGGAUUGUAAAAUUCUUUCACCGGGGACGAUAAUGACGGUACCCGGAGAAGAAGCUCCGGCUAACUUCGUGC